GUCAUAUUCUAACAUUUUCCUAUGCAAUUUUCUCAAAGAUGGUAGGUACAUUUUUGAAAUAAAUAUUUUUUUAUUUUUCAUUUUUUUACAAAGACUCUGAAAUUGCAAACUAUUCAUAUUAGACUAAUAAAAACAAUUUUUGUUACUAGGACAUUUCUCAAUUUUUCAUAGAUUUUGUACCAGUGGAGAUGAUAGCAAAUUACCUGGAUCAUAAUAACAGAGCAUCUUACUACUUCAAAUAGACAAGACAGACUUUCUUAAAACCUAUUUUAAUAGAUUGUCUACAAAUUAACAAAAUAUGUGGUUAUUUCACUUUGUCAAGUUAGAUGAACAAAUGAAUGCUUUGUUUGCAAGACUUUAAACAUUCAGACUGACCUAAGAUGUGAAUAUAUGUGUAUACCUGGAAAAUAGAAUAAACCUUCAUCAGUUCAGUGUGAAGCAUCCUUAAGAACAAUGAAGAAUACCCAUCUAGAAAGAAAAGCUUCUUCUAGUUACCAGCUAAUUUCUUAUGUCAUUUUGCCCAACCCUGCCCCACUUUGCUGCAAGUAGUUUGUUGUUUUUAAAAUACUUUCAUUCCCUUCUUUGGAAAGAUCAUGAAGGAUAAUAUAAUUUUAUUCAAGUUCAUUAUUUUCUUAAAAUAUUGAGCCAGAUAAAACUAGACUAUUAAUGUGUUUUUUCUGUUCAGUAUUCCUCUUUAUUGACAACUCAUCAAGAUCUGGCAAAUAACACUAAAUUGAAUUAGUGAUUAAAUUG
Molecule: long non-coding RNA, 753 nt
Filed under: Marmota monax (woodchuck)
Lineage: Eukaryota; Metazoa; Chordata; Mammalia; Rodentia; Sciuridae
Source: RNAcentral